CAAACAUUUCUGCUAGCCUCAGCAGUGGCCACAUGUGAUGCCUCCCAUUGGCUGAAACUGCCCCCAAAGGAAUGGCUGUUUGGGGAUCAUGCAAACAAGGAUGGGAGGAGUCCAGUCCUGCAACUCUUUAGUUCCUCACCCCACUAGAUCCUGCUCUCCUUAGAGAACUGGCAUACUGGAAGAGCAUUAUGAUCACAGCUCCCUGGGUCUAGGCUGUGUGACCUCAGCCAAGUUAUUUAACAUCUCUGAGCAUCGCUGUCUUCAACUGGGAUAACUACACAUACAUACCACUUGAGUGGCGAGGAAUAAAAAGAUAGAUGAUUCACCAUCAGGCCUGCGAGCUGAUUAUGACUCAAGGACUCAGGGAAGCUGUGAAGCAGAGGAAAUCUCCCUGUGAAGAAGCCUGGAUGGGCACAGUGUCUGGGCACAUGUAAUUCUCAUUCAUAUUUUCAACUGUGUGCCCCAGUGUUCCCAGCAUUUAGGACGCUUCCUGGCCAGUAACUCAAUCAAUGUUAGUUGGGUGAGUAAAUAAAUGAACCGAAAUUAACCUGUCAACAUUUUGGUGUAUAAAAUUCCAGACAUUUUCCAUGCAUACAGAUCCCUCAUAUGUACUUUUUUUAUUUAAAUGAGAUCCUAUCUGACAUAUGAUUUUAUAAUUUAUUUUAUCUCUUAAUAUGCUGUAACCAUCACUCCAGGGCAGGGAAUUCAA
Molecule: long non-coding RNA, 709 nt
Filed under: Microcebus murinus (gray mouse lemur)
Lineage: Eukaryota; Metazoa; Chordata; Mammalia; Primates; Cheirogaleidae
Description: lncRNA (ENSMICG00000048462.1)
Source: RNAcentral